This 267-nucleotide ribosomal RNA is filed under the name Escherichia coli. RNAcentral's name for it is "partial 16S ribosomal RNA". It matches the Rfam family "Bacterial small subunit ribosomal RNA", at positions 1 to 264 of the family's 1533-position model. The record is from RNAcentral. Lineage: Bacteria; Pseudomonadati; Pseudomonadota; Gammaproteobacteria; Enterobacterales; Enterobacteriaceae.
AAAUUGAAGAGUUUGAUCAUGGCUCAGAUUGAACGCUGGCGGCAGGCCUAACACAUGCAAGUCGAACGGUAACAGGAAUCAGCUUGCUGAUUCGCUGACGAGUGGCGGACGGGUGAGUAAUGUCUGGGAAACUGCCUGAUGGAGGGGGAUAACUACUGGAAACGGUAGCUAAUACCGCAUAACGUCGCAAGACCAAAGAGGGGGACCUUCGGGCCUCUUGCCAUCGGAUGUGCCCAGAUGGGAUUAGCUAGUAGGUGGGGUAACGGC